Long non-coding RNA from Mercenaria mercenaria, 2159 nucleotides. RefSeq lists it as uncharacterized. The record is from RefSeq and is a predicted model, not a curated record. NCBI's taxonomy places the organism in Eukaryota, Metazoa, Mollusca, Bivalvia, Venerida, Veneridae. The transcript has 2 exons.
CUUAAACUUGUCCUAUGGUUUUCUACCGCAUAACAAUGUACGAAUAUUUGUUUAAGUGCUAAGUCCAUUUAAAGGUCUUUGUUGGAUUCCUAUGGAAUUUGAUAAAAAUAAUUAUCAUAGUUACUGUUGUGUCUUAAAUAAAAACUGACGUAAACUAAGCCAUCAUCUUAUGAGUUUAUCAUAUGAGGUAAUCUUAAUUUAACAAUUAAAAGGAAUUUCUGUAUUUGAAACGGUGAAUGCAACUUCUACAAGGUCAUCUAUGGAUUAUGCUGCAUGCUUGAUUAAUACAAUAUUCCUCAUUUGAAAAAAGUCAUUCUGCAUAAUUCAUCUGCAAUUACAAGUUAUAUGUUUGCCUGUUCUUUUGUGAAAGCUGUGUUACCUGGUUUGGUGUCAACAAGUUCAAAGAUGUGUUACUUACUUAAUAUUUCCGGCUUGGAUAUAUACUUGGAAAGUUACAGUUUAUUUUAUAUUUUACACAUAACAUUGCGAUAAGUCUUCGACAUGCAAGACAAACUGUCGGACGCCUUGGGGUGAGGAGAUAUAGGGCUGGUUCUACGUCAACUUAUGUAAUAAAUGAAGUGAGAAAGCUUUGCAACAGAUAGCAUAAUAUGGAAAAUGUUUAAGUCAUCAGACAGAGUGAAAGAAUCGCAAGAAAUAGCCAGGCAUAUAUUAAAGACCAUGGGUACGUUGAUGUGAUUUGAAAACGUCUGUUAUCCCCGCCAGGUGAAACCCUAACAAAGGCAACAGAAGGAUACUUUUUGCAAGUGCUCGAAAACAAACUGGAUUCAUUUGGACAAAGAAAAGUUUGAAUAGUCAAGUAACACUUUUGUUCAGUGCAAAACAAUGUACCUUAACAGGUUGUAGAUGUAUAUAUGUAAUGCUUCUUUUAGAAAUAUACAAAACUACCGUUUAGUGUCUGAAUUAUUUGUCUUCCUUGAACACUUACACUAACAUUGCAAGAGAUGCUAACGAAUAUAAAAUGUUAAAAAUAUGGUGAACAAUCUAAUUAUAAUAACUGGCUAUUUAGUAGUACCAGUAUGUUGUAUAGUUGUUUUUCUUUCAUAGAAUUUUUUUCAAAUUCACAUAUAUGUUAGGAAAAUUUGUGCUGAAAACAAUGAACAAAUAAAAACAAUGGGUCACCAGGCUUGUUUUUGUGAAAAAUUGUUUUGAAAACACCCACACUGUUGCUGAAACUGAUAGCGACUUUUCAACAUUUUCAUGAUUGUUUGCUUUUUUAUAAAUACCAACCAAAGUAUGCAUAAAGACAGAACAAUAAGGUUAAUUCUUUUUACAGAUUCUGUUAUAUACUUAUUUCAUAUUAUAGUCAUAUUUGUAAUACAAUAUCUUUAUAAUUAUGCGUACAAAUAGAAAAACAAUCUGGUUUCAUGUUCACUUUUGUGAACUUUUUUAAUGAAAAAUACUCAUAGUAAAGAACUUUUUUUUUAAUUUUGAAAAAGCUGUUUCUAGAUUUUUUUCUGUUUUCAUUGUGAAUAAACAAUUGAAUUGUGAAAAUAAAAACGGCAAAAAAGUAUGGGUCUCCGGGCUAAAUUUUAUGUUAAGGCCGCUUGAAUGCAACACCUGUGCGGACGAAAAAUGGCGCGAACCUGACCAAAUUGAUUACAUGUAUAUCUGCCAGAAGUUAGAAAGAAGUUUUAAAAUUCUUAAUUCUUUCUAUAAUUGAAUACUGAAUAAUCUUAAAGGGGAUUUUGUCUUUCAAUACAAAGUUAACUUAAAUGUCUAACAUUAUAUAAACAGCACUGUCUUCGUACUAACGUGCGCUGUCAAACACAGCCACAAAAAUGGCAAGAUACAUGUCAGGCAUGAUUGAUGUCAGUACAACAUAAACCAGUAUCAACAUUUGAUUACCGAUAAAACUUAUUAAAAAGUUGUUUUAUUCAAGAUUCCUCAUAUUUAAGAUUGUCUGUAACAUGUUUCAAGAAAUGUUGACUUCACUUCAGUUUUCCAUAGAUGGUGUCGGUUGCGCAGAAACAUGCGCAUAAAAACUACUGGAAUUCCCUUUAAAUGUGCUUUGAUUUUUCUUUUAAAUGUGAUGCUUGGAUUUUAUAGUGUUACAUGUUGCACAAAACUGUAUAAGGCAGAUAAAAAGAGACCACCGCUUAUGACUGAAAUGUUAUUCAGUAAAUAAACAAUAGAAAUUU